Molecule: long non-coding RNA, 867 nt
Filed under: Marmota monax (woodchuck)
Lineage: Eukaryota; Metazoa; Chordata; Mammalia; Rodentia; Sciuridae
Source: RNAcentral
UGGGCACCUGGCGGCCGUGUCCCCUCAUGGGGGAGGGUCUGAAGCAGCCGGAGCCAGCAGGGGUCCAGCCUGGCCCCGGGCUCACUCCUGAGCCUGCAGACACCUGCAGGGGCAUCUGUUCCCGGCCUCCCACGGCAGAGGGGCAGUUCCCAGGCCAGCUGGCUCAGGGAGGCGCCAGGAGGCCACACAGCAGCCUUCUCUGAGCACCAAGAGCCAGGCCCUGCUCCGGACGCUGCUCCAGGAAGCAGGUGGUAAACACAAGGGGCCCUGCAGUGUGACUUGGUGCUGAGCAGUCCUCGGGAGAAAACGGGUUGGGUGGUGUGGAGGGCGCGGUAGUUUGAGUGAGGUGGUUGGGGAAGGCCUCUCUGAGGAGGGACCUGGGAGCCAACCCUGAAAGGUUCCCACCUUUCAAGGAGACGGCCUUGCAGAUGCAAAGGCCCUGGGGCAGGCAUAACAGUGCUGGGUCACAGGACUGGAGGGUGGCCAGUGCAGCUGGCCAAGAUGGAGCCAGAGGCAUGGUGGGAGGCCCUGGGUCCCUCUGUCACCCACCAGGCUCUUUUGCAAGUGUCUAGUUGGUCCCCUCUUCCUUGGUGAACCCAGGUUCAUCAUAGGGAGCAAGAGUUCAGAUGCAGCUUGAGCCCCAGACACCCCAGACAUGGAUGGGCAUGGUGCGUGGAAGGGAGCAGAGGCCAGGUCUGCCUGGACAGGGCCUCUCCCUGGGCCUGGGAACCAGCUGGGGGCAGCCGAGGGUGGAGGCGGUGCCCUCCCCUUCCACAGGGCCCUGGUCUGGGCGGGGAGUGCGGUGCAUUUGCUUUGGGCCCAGUUUUGCAGCACAUCAGGCUCGGACGGCCUCUGCUCAAAGGCUGA